RNAcentral lists this unclassified non-coding RNA (361 nucleotides) under Hevea brasiliensis (rubber tree). Lineage: Eukaryota; Viridiplantae; Streptophyta; Magnoliopsida; Malpighiales; Euphorbiaceae. The record is from RNAcentral.
GUCGUGGUUCUCAAGGAAAAAGAAAGCAAUCAGCGGGAUGGCGAAGAGUCUCUCCUACAUCACGCCCUCUGAGCUCAUCUCCAUCACCCGAAACCCUAACCCUAGAGUCGCCAUCAUCGAUGUCAGGGACGAUGAGCGGAGCUACGAUGGCCACAUCGCGCACUCCCACCACUACGCCAGCGACACCUUUCCCGAGAGGAUCCCCGACCUCAUCCAAGCCGUACGGGGAAAGGAAACCCUCGUCUUCCAUUGUGCCCUCAGCCAGGUGAGGGGGCCGUCUUGUGCCCGCCUGUUACUGGAUCAUUUUUCACAAACUAAAGAAGAUACUGGAAUCAAAAGUGUUAUGGUCUUGGAACGUGGG